This 429-nucleotide ribosomal RNA is filed under the name Verrucomicrobiota bacterium. RNAcentral's name for it is "Verrucomicrobia bacterium partial 16S ribosomal RNA". It matches the Rfam family "Bacterial small subunit ribosomal RNA", at positions 355 to 776 of the family's 1533-position model. The record is from RNAcentral. Lineage: Bacteria; Pseudomonadati; Verrucomicrobiota.
UAGGGACUCUUCCGCAAUGGACGAAAGUCUGACGGAGCAACGCCGCGUGAGUGAAGAAGGAUUUCGGUUCGUAAAACUCUGUUGUUAGGGAAGACAAAAUGUAUAGUAACUAUAUACAAAAGAGACGGUACCUAACCAGAAAGCCACGGCUAACUACGUGCCAGCAGCCGCGGUAAUACGUAGGGAGCAAGCGUUGUCCGGAAUUAUUGGGCGUAAAGCGCGCGCAGGUGGUUUAGAAAGUCUGAUGUGAAAGCCCACGACUCAACCGUGGAGGGUCAUUGGAAACUCAUAAACUUGAGUGCAGGAGAGAAAAGUGGAGUUCCUAGUGUAGCGGUGAAAUGCGUAGAGAGUAGGAGGAACGCCGGUGGCGAAAGCGGCUUUUUGGCCUGCAACUGACACUGAGGCUCGAAAGCGUGGUGAGCAAACAGG